This is a long non-coding RNA of Arabidopsis lyrata subsp. lyrata, 964 nucleotides long. RefSeq lists it as uncharacterized. The transcript is spliced from 2 exons. The record is from RefSeq and is a predicted model, not a curated record. NCBI's taxonomy places the organism in Eukaryota, Viridiplantae, Streptophyta, Magnoliopsida, Brassicales, Brassicaceae.
CUCUCUCUCUAAACCUAAUCGCCGUUCUUCUCUUCUUCGACUUGGUUUUGCUCUGACCGGCGCGUGGCGGCUCCGAUAGCGCCGGCGUCGGUCCUCUGUCUUGUUUAUUGUCUCUGCUUUCUUCGGCGGUGAAGCGUGGGGGUUUUGGUGAAGGGGUUUGGAUGGUCACAGAAUCUCAGAUCUGAAGAGUUUUGGCUUAAGGAGACCGGAAUCGUCGUGCCUCAUGGUCGUUGGUGUAGAUGGAGUCGCCAUUCUGCUACAGCCGUGGUUUCUCGUCUUGUCUUUGGUCAAGUGUUUCAUUGUUUUGAGCAUCGAAGGCGAGGUCCUUUGUCUUUCUCUAGAUCAGAGAGACAGCGACUCUGUUCUCGGUGGCUCGCCCGGUUGACUUGCUUUUGCGGAAUGUGUCUUGGAGUUUGCUAGUGGUUUGUCUCUGCUUUGCCUUUCCAUGGUGUCUCUGGGCUGAGUUUUCAUUCGGUUUCCUCAUCUUACAAAUCGCGGAUGGUUAAGUUCACCCACAUGUUUGGGUUUCCUCCGGUUUUGUUAGAAGGUUGGUUUGCUCGUCUUCGUUUCGCGGUUCAGCAGGAUCCUCUCAGUUUAGUUAGUCGUGUGAUCUUGGACUGAAAGAGUUGAGCAAGUGCGUUCAUCUUCCUUCGUCAAUUUCUCUGUCAGGUUUCUCGAUUCGAUUUCUGUAUCUCGCCAUGUUCGUCGUUCUCAUGUAUGGGCUUAAUUGAGACUAAGCUAUUAGCGGUUCCACCUAUUUCCGUAGAUUGUAAUUUCCCUCGUUUGGGCUUAAGUUUCUCUCGUUUGGGCUUUUUGAUGAUUGUCCGCCUCUUUUGGCCUUAAGUUUCUGGGGGUUUCUAUGUACCCGCCGGCUUUGUCUCCGAAAGGAUUUUGUUCUUUGUCGGCUUUGUAUAACUCAAUCGCAUUCUAUCAAUAGACGAAAAAAUAUAUAUAUAUAUUAAAA